CGAACCUGUUGCGCAGCCUGUCACGGCCGCUCGGGCUCCGCGGCGCCGCCUCAGCCCCACAACAACAUGGCGGCCGCGGCCUCCGCAGGAAGCCGGGGGGCGGGGUGGGAGGCGACGGUCCGGGUAGCCGACUGCCCGCCCGCUGCCGGGCACCGACUCCCCCACCCUCGGGAACCCGAAAUUGGCCCGGGCGCGGCUCGUCACCCCCAGAGCCCCAGGGCAGCGGACCCCGCGGUCCUGGUCCUAGUGCUCCGCUCUCCCCUCGGGGAAGCCCCGAAGCCCCGGACGCGGCAGCCCUUCCUGGAGGGGCGCCGACCCACGUGGCUCCUCCUCCGCGAGGUGACAUGUUGAGGCUGGGUGGUGCUUUUCCCGCCGCCGCAGACCCCACAGUUUUGGAAAAGGGCCAAACGGUGUAUGGUGCGUGCCUGCUGCACCUCCCGUGGCGCUCUCCCUGGAGCCCUCUCACUCACUACAGUAUCUUCGCCGACCUGGGGGCUCGAUUCCCCUGGAAUGGGGAGUGGGGCGGGAGGAGGUUGUUCCCACCCUUGCUCAUGGGUGUGUUGCAGGCCUUUCCCUCAGGUAGCGGAGAAGGACUCACUGUACCCAGCGGUGGCCCAUGCAGCGUUCCUCACCCUCCUCCAUCACAAACAAAAAAGGGCAAGAAAGGAGCCUUCCAACCCUCAUCCACGCGCAGAGCAACUACCCCGUAUAGUCUGGCCGAGCAGUAAGAAGAUAGUCACCUCUCCGUGAACUCCACGACCUGGGGGUCUGCAGGUGCUGGACGUGCUUCCCCGCCUGAUAGCUGCCUGACAGAAGCUAAAUGUCGAGAUGGUGUAACCAAAAGAUGGGAAUAGCCUGGAUGUCAGAUGUGCUUAGAAGGGAGAUGUCCAGAAGAGCCACGGUACCUGCGGCUAACUUCAUAUCCUCAUUCCUACUGGAUUUCCAUCGCACACCAGUUAUCUCCGGCUACCGCUGUUCACUGACAGCUGUUCUGUGCCCACCAUGCGGCCACCCUUCUGCUGGUAACUGGACUCUCAUUCCCAUCUGUGGAAAUCCCUGCCUCCCCAGUGUGGUUGCUUUGGCUGCGGCUUCACCCCUGGCUCAGGCACAGAGCUUGUGACCUAAAUCAAUCCAAAUAUUGCAUUCCCCUGGACAGACUGAUUCAGAAUC
Molecule: long non-coding RNA, 1170 nt
Organism: Balaenoptera ricei (Rice's whale)
Lineage: Eukaryota; Metazoa; Chordata; Mammalia; Artiodactyla; Balaenopteridae
Exons: 3
Source: RefSeq, a predicted model, not a curated record